UGGUGGAGUGAUUUGUCUGGUUAAUUCCGAUAACGAACGAGACCCCCGCCUGCUAAAUAGUGGGCGCAAUGCAUUGCAUUGCGACUCGCUUCUUAGAGGGACUUUCGGUGUUUUAGCCGAAGGAAGUUGGGGGCAAUAACA
RNAcentral lists this ribosomal RNA (141 nucleotides) under uncultured eukaryote. Its description in RNAcentral is "partial 18S ribosomal RNA". It matches the Rfam family "Eukaryotic small subunit ribosomal RNA", at positions 1299 to 1458 of the family's 1831-position model. The record is from RNAcentral.